GAUGAACGCUGGCGGCGUGCCUAAUACAUGCAAGUCGAGCGAACAGACGAGGAGCUUGCUCCUCUGACGUUAGCGGCGGACGGGUGAGUAACACGUGGAUAACCUACCUAUAAGACUGGGAUAACUUCGGGAAACCGGAGCUAAUACCGGAUAAUAUAUUGAACCGCAUGGUUCAAUAGUGAAAGACGGUUUUGCUGUCACUUAUAGAUGGAUCCGCGCCGCAUUAGCUAGUUGGUAAGGUAACGGCUUACCAAGGCAACGAUGCGUAGCCGACCUGAGAGGGUGGUCGGCCGCACUGGAACUGAGACACGGUCCAGACUCCUACGGGAGGCAGCAGUAGGGAAUCUUCCGCAAUGGGCGAAAGCCUGACGGAGCAGCGCCGCGGGAGUGAUGAGGGUCUUCGGAUCGUAAAACUCUGUUAUUAGGGAAGAACAAAUGUGUAAGUAACUGUGCACGUCUUGACGGUACCUAAACAGAAAGCCACGGCUAACUACGUG
RNAcentral lists this ribosomal RNA (497 nucleotides) under uncultured bacterium. RNAcentral describes it as "partial 16S ribosomal RNA". It matches the Rfam family "Bacterial small subunit ribosomal RNA", at positions 28 to 507 of the family's 1533-position model. The record is from RNAcentral.